AGUCCGGAUGAAUCGUUAGAGGACUCCGAGAUGUGCGCAACAAUCCUAAUCUAAGUCAAAAAGGGUUCUAUUCUACAACCAAAAGUAAAAACUGAAAAAAGACAAAGCAACUCUGUGCUUAAAAGAAACACAAUGGUGCAUGGGCGCCAAACGAGCGGUUAAGGUAACUACAGUAAUAAACAUUAAUUUUUAAAAAUACAGUAAAACGCGGUAUAUGGUGUUUGAUGUCACCGAAAAUUAUCAUAAUGCAUUGGACUUAUUUGAUGGAAUGAGGAUUUACUGUAUCUUACUGAGUGAUAUACAGUAAUUAACUGUAAAUUUUACAGAAAUGUCUAAUAGUGAGUGUGAGUGCGGUUGGCAUGCGUACUGCAAUGAUAUCCUUCUAGACCAGCAGAGGGCAGAUGUCGUCUUCUAUCUCUGAAUGAAGUUUCCACACAAGCAGGAUGAGAUAAGGUUAUAAUCGCACGUUGGUUAUGCUUUUAUGGUUUUUAAAACAGGAGAUCCCUGAAACGUGCGGUUAUAACCUACAGAUUCUUAAAAAAUAUGGAGUAGCCUCUUAAUUUUUGCCACUUCAAUCGUUUGAAAACAGGUAUGCUUCAUUAAGAGAACCAAGAAACUGCCGAGUCAAAAUAUCUGUUACAGGCUAUAAAUAUAUACACAUACAGUACUGUGCAAAAGUCUUAGGCACUCAAAAGAAAUGUUUAACGCUAUGUUUAUCUGGGUAGUAAGUGCCCAUUUUCUUAGAACAAAAAAAAUAUACAAUUUAACAUAAGAACAUAUGAAAAUUACGAGUGGAACAUAUGAAAAUUAGUGGUCAGGUAAAAAAAUACACGGAUGUAUUGUAUGGUUGCUGGAAAUAAUAGGGUUAUUUUAGCAGUGGUUUUGAAAUGGCUAAGCUGACACACUUUGCUAGGUGUAACAGCAUAGUUUUACACCAACAUGACAGGUAUUUAAACAUGGCUGCCUAAGACGUUUGCACAGUACUGUAUAUCUGAAUUAGCCUGUCACAGAUAUUUUGACUCGGCAGUUUCUUAGUUCUCCUGAUAAAGCCUGCCUGUUUUCGAACGACUGAAGUGAUAAAGAAGUCCUCUGGCGAAUAUUAAGGGCCUACUCCAUAUUUUUUUUAAGAAUCUGUGUUGUUAAAACCUGGUUUAAUACUGGUUGUGUUGGCAGAAGGCUACACUGAGCAGCAGGGUGCUUCCAGGCUCAAGCAGAAGCAACUUUCUAAUGCCAGAGAUGAUCGGUGAAGUGUCCCACCUGACCCUCACCCCACCCAUUGUAUUCUUUAAAUGUUGCACACUGCACACUGCAAUUUUGUAUUGUAUUGUAUUGUGUCUUUUUCUGUUCUAUAUGUACAGUGAUGCUACUGUAGCUCUUUUGGAAAUUCCUUUUGGAUAAAUAAUGUUCUACUGCUACUACUUCAUCACUGCAACACCCUAAUUUCUUGCUUUUUCAGUCAUUCUGUUAUAGAUUUGCUGGUGUGCUUUGGUUUAUUGUCGAGUUGCAUGACCCAAUUUCGGCCAACCUCUAGGUGUCGGAAAGUUGACCUGACGUGACACUAAAAUACUUUGGUAUACAGAGGAGGUCAAUGACUGCAAGGUGCCCAGGUCUUCAGGCUGCAAAACAAGCCCAAAUCAUCACCCCCUCCAUCACCGUGCUUGACAGUUGUAUGAGGUGUUUUUGUGGAGUUUUACCCACCCUCAAUAAUUCUUUUAAUUUAUUCAUUUUAAAAAAUGACAGCGACAAUAACUCAGGACACAAGAUCUGAAGUACAACAAAUCUCAGGUUGAGGAGAGAGAUACAUUUAUUACUACUUUACUGGAUCCACCGUUGUACACUGUCUCACACUGAUACCGUCCUUCAUCUCGUUUUGUAAAGUGAGGAAUGUACAGGUAUGUUUCUCCAUUUGUGUUGUUGCGCAGGAUCUUUCCAUCUUUACAUGUAUCAUGUUUAGAAUCGUUAUCACUAUGAGCCAUUUGACACUGCUUUCCGUCAAUGUCUAUCGUCCAGGUAAUGAAGAUAAUCGAAGCCCAUGUCUUAUUGGAGCAGUUCAGAGUAACGCUGCUAUUCAAGUCAAAGUACUCACUUCUGUAUUCUGUAAAUGCUGGGUGAUGACAGAAAGUAGCAGAGAU
Molecule: long non-coding RNA, 2132 nt
Organism: Brienomyrus brachyistius
Lineage: Eukaryota; Metazoa; Chordata; Actinopteri; Osteoglossiformes; Mormyridae
Exons: 5
Source: RefSeq, a predicted model, not a curated record